GUAGAACCACAUCAGAACAGUUUUUAGUAUGGGUUUUGUGCCACUGAAAAACAGCGCAGGAGAGCUGUCCUUACAAGAGAGAUGCUGGAGAUAUUUCUGGUGCAUUGAUUUGGAAAUCAUCAAGUAGAAUCCUAAAUGCCAAGGCCUGAAAACCUGUCUCCACUGUUCUUUCCUUCCCUUUUAAGGCUGGCAGAACUGCAAGCUGGGAUAACACCAAGGUUGCAAUUGAUAGAAGAAUCAAAUUUCCUUGGAGAAGACAAAAUGUAUAUGAAGUGCCUCCUGCAGAGCCAGGGAUGUCAUAGGUGCUCAGUAAAUAGUCCAUUUCUCAAAUCAGUUGGAAUCAGUAAGAAUGGAAGAAUGAUUGAAAGAUUUCUCCUGCACCUCCCUCACCCCCAAUAAUGCCAACACAUUUGAACUGUGAUUGUGGGCAAUUCAGAGACAUGGAUAAAUUUUUAAAAGGUGCCCAAUCUGGUGAGAUUUGCCAAGCCUACACAAGAGUAAUGAGAGACAUCAUAAGACAGUGUUAUUUGGGUUUGUGUAUUUGAAUAAUCAGGACAUUUCUAAGUGGAGAAGGAGUAGCAUUCUAGACAGAAAGGACCAAUGAGGAAGGGUGGAAAUGAUGGGUGUUUUCAAGUAAUGUGGUGGGAAUUAAUGUAGCAUUGCUGGAGAAUGAGUAUAUACGGGGAAGAAUUGGGAAAUAAAGCUUUGAAAAGUAGAUUUGCC
RNAcentral lists this long non-coding RNA (723 nucleotides) under Equus caballus (horse). RNAcentral describes it as "lncRNA (ENSECAG00000031138.3)". The record is from RNAcentral. Lineage: Eukaryota; Metazoa; Chordata; Mammalia; Perissodactyla; Equidae.